UCCCUGGUAGUAUAUCGGUUAGUACACGCGCCUGUCAUUCAUUCAUGGCCGCGCGAAAGCGGGGUUCGACUCCCCGCCAGGGAG
RNAcentral lists this transfer RNA (84 nucleotides) under Irpex rosettiformis. RNAcentral's name for it is "tRNA-Asp". It matches the Rfam family "tRNA". From Rfam's summary of the family: Transfer RNA (tRNA) molecules are approximately 80 nucleotides in length. Their secondary structure includes four short double-helical elements and three loops (D, anti-codon, and T loops). Further hydrogen bonds mediate the characteristic L-shaped molecular structure. tRNAs have two regions of fundamental functional importance: the anti-codon, which is responsible for specific mRNA codon recognition, and the 3' end, to which the tRNAs corresponding amino acid is attached (by aminoacyl-tRNA synthetases). tRNAs cope with the degeneracy of the genetic code in two manners: having more than one tRNA (with a specific anti-codon) for a particular amino acid; and 'wobble' base-pairing, i.e. permitting non-standard base-pairing at the 3rd anti-codon position. The record is from RNAcentral. Lineage: Eukaryota; Fungi; Basidiomycota; Agaricomycetes; Polyporales; Irpicaceae.